Molecule: ribosomal RNA, 465 nt
Filed under: uncultured bacterium
Lineage: Bacteria
Description: partial 16S ribosomal RNA
Rfam family: Bacterial small subunit ribosomal RNA
Source: RNAcentral
CCUACGUGUGGCAGCAGUGGGGAAUAUUGCGCAAUGGGCGAGAGCCUGACGCAGCGACGCCGCGUGAGGGAUGAAGGUCUUCGGAUCGUAAACCUCUGUCAGCAGGGAAGAACGGUCACUGUGCUAAUCAGCAGUGAAUUGACGUUCCCUGCCAAGGAAGCACCGGCGAACUCCGUGCCAGCAACCGCGGUAAUACUGAGGGUGCGAGCGUUAAUAGGCAUUACUGGGCGUAAAGCGCUCGUAGGCGGUAUGUCAAGUCAAGGGUGAAAUCCCCGCGAGCAACGUGGGAACUGACUUUGAACCUGGCAAACUGGAGUGUGUGAGAGGAUAGUGGAAAUCCAGGUGUAGGAGUGAAAUCGGGAGAUAUCUGGAGGAAAAUCAGAGGCGAAGGGGACUAUCUGGCACAUAACUGAAGCUGAGGAGCGAAAGCGUGGGUAGCAAACAGGAUUAGAUACCCUAGUAGUC